GACGAACGCUGGCGGCGUGCUUAACACAUGCCAGUCGAACGGAAAGGCCCUGCUUUUGUGGGGUGCUCGAGUGGCGAACGGGUGAGUAACACGUGAGUAACCUGCCCUUGACUUUGGGAUAACUUCAGGAAACUGGGGCUAAUACCGGAUAGGAGCUCCUGCUGCAUGGUGGGGGUUGGAAAGUUUCGGCGGUUGGGGAUGGACUCGCGGCUUAUCAGCUUGUUGGUGGGGUAGUGGCUUACCAAGGCUUUGACGGGUAGCCGGCCUGAGAGGGUGACCGGCCACAUUGGGACUGAGAUACGGACCAGACUCCUACGGGAGGCAGCAGUGGGGAAUAUUGCACAAUGGGCGGAAGCCUGAUGCAGCAACGCCGCGUGCGUGAUGACGGCCUUCGGGUUGUAAACCGCUUUCGCCUGUGACGAAGCGUGAGUGACGGUAAUGGGUAAAGAAGCACCGGCUAACUACGUG
Molecule: ribosomal RNA, 468 nt
Filed under: uncultured bacterium
Lineage: Bacteria
Description: partial 16S ribosomal RNA
Rfam family: Bacterial small subunit ribosomal RNA
Source: RNAcentral